GUGCCAGCAGCCGCGGUAAUACGGAGGGUGCAAGCGUUAAUCGGAAUUACUGGGCGUAGGAAGCGUACGCAGGUGGUUAAUUAAGUUCAGAUGGUGAAAUGGGCCCUAAACUUAACUUAGGAACUGCAUUUGAAACUGAUUAGCUAGAGUUUUGUAGAGGGGGGUAGAAUUCCAGGUGUAGCGGUGAAAUGCGUAGAGAUCUGGAGGAAUACCAGUGGCGAAGGCGACCCCCUGGACCAAAGACUGACACUCAUGUACGAAAGCUUCCGUGGGGAGCGGAAACAGGAUUAGAUACCCUGGGGUAGUCCAUGGGCUGUAAACAAUGUCAAUUUGAAGGUUGUAGCCUUGAGUUAUAGCUUUCGUAGCUAACGCGUUAAGGAUUGACCGCCUGGGGAGUACGGCCGCAAGGUUAAGGGAACUCAAAUGAAUUGACGGGGGCCCGCACAAGCGGUGGAGCAUGUCCGGUAAGGUUUAAUUCGAUGCAACGCGAAAAACCUUACCUAUUCUUGACAUCCAAAGAAUAAAACAGAAAUGUUUUAGUGCCUUAGGGAACUUGGGUUUCCGAGACAGGUGCUGCAUGGCUGUCGUCAGCUCGUGUUGUGAAAUGUUGGGUUAAGUCCCGCAACGAGCGCAACCCCUAUCCUUUGUUGCCAUCGAGCCUAAAGUCGGGAACUCAAAGGAGACUGCUGGUGAUAAACCGGGAGGAAGGUGGGGGGACGACGUCAAGUCAUCAUGGCCCUUACGAAUAGGGCGGUACACACGUGCUACAAUGGCAUAUACAAUUAAAGAGAAGCGAUCUUGCAAAAAGCUAGCAAAUCUCAUAAAGUAUGUCGUAGUCGGAUGGAGUCUGCACUCGACUCCAUGAGUCGGAAUCGCUAGUAUCGUAGAUCAGAUGCUACGGUGAAUACGUUCCCGGCCUUGCACACACCGCCCGUCAAGGGGGAAUUCGGGUUUAACCUGGCAGGACUAG
RNAcentral lists this ribosomal RNA (970 nucleotides) under uncultured bacterium. RNAcentral describes it as "bacterial SSU rRNA". It matches the Rfam family "Bacterial small subunit ribosomal RNA", at positions 505 to 1432 of the family's 1533-position model. The record is from RNAcentral.